Molecule: ribosomal RNA, 278 nt
Filed under: uncultured bacterium
Lineage: Bacteria
Description: partial 16S ribosomal RNA
Rfam family: Bacterial small subunit ribosomal RNA
Source: RNAcentral
GCAGCCGCGGUAAUACGUAGGGGGCAAGCGUUAUCCGGAUUUACUGGGUGUAAAGGGAGCGUAGGCGGCCAUGCAAGUCAGAAGUGAAAGCCCGGGGCUCAACCCCGGGACUGCUUUUGAAACUGUAAGGCUAGAUUGCCGGAGAGGUAAGCGGAAUUCCUAGUGUAGCGGUGAAAUGCGUAGAUAUUAGGAGGAACACCAGUGGCGAAGGCGGCUUACUGGACGGUAAAUGACGCUGAGGCUCGAAAGCGUGGGGAGCAAACAGGAUUAGAUACCCC